CCUAAGGUAUUUGUGUUUGUCUGCCUGACUCAGUUUGCUUAGCCUUCUACUCUCGGGCUCCAUCCAUGUCCUUGGAAAUGGGAAGAUUUCAUCCCCUUUUUAUGGCUGAAUGAUACUCCUUCCUGUGUGUGUGCCCGCCCUCUCGCGUGCGUGUGCGCGUCCGCGUCCACGUCCACGUCCCGGCACACUCCUAUGAUAUAAUCAGCAUAAUUUCAUCUCCUGAAUUUGGAUGAAUUCUGGAAUAUAACCAAGAUCAGGCUGUAGACGUCUAAAAUUGAAGGCCAUGGCCUGGAUUCUGGUGAAUUCACUAAGGCAAACAACCCCUGUGAGAUGGUCCUGCAGCAUCCAUUGAGUGCUAUCUUUGGUGACACCCAGUCUUUGUUGUGUAACUUUGAAUUCCUAUAAAUCCUUUAAGGUCCCAAUAAAUUUUGUUUCUCAUUGCUCUGUUA
This is a long non-coding RNA of Canis lupus familiaris (dog), 449 nucleotides long. RefSeq lists it as uncharacterized. Lineage: Eukaryota; Metazoa; Chordata; Mammalia; Carnivora; Canidae. The record is from RefSeq and is a predicted model, not a curated record. The transcript has 2 exons.